RNAcentral lists this ribosomal RNA (400 nucleotides) under uncultured bacterium. RNAcentral's name for it is "bacterial SSU rRNA". It matches the Rfam family "Bacterial small subunit ribosomal RNA", at positions 28 to 429 of the family's 1533-position model. The record is from RNAcentral.
GAUGAACGCUGGCGGCGUGCCUAACACAUGCAAGUCGAACGGGGUAGAUUCCUUCGGGGGUCUACUUAGUGGCGAACGGGUGAGUAACGCGUGAGAAACCUGCCUCUCAGUGGGGGACAACAGUUGGAAACGACUGCUAAUACCGCAUAAUGUUUUCGAGGGGCAUCCCUUGAAAACCAAAGCUUUAUGUGCUGGAAGAUGGUCUCGCGUCUGAUUAGCUAGUUGGUGAGGUAACGGCUCACCAAGGCGACGAUCAGUAGCCGGUCUGAGAGGAUGAACGGCCACAUUGGGACUGAGAUACGGCCCAGACUCCUACGGGAGGCAGCAGUGGGGAAUAUUGGGCAAUGGGGGAAACCCUGACCCAGCAACGCCGCGUGAAGGAAGAAGGCCUCGGUGUAAC